Molecule: ribosomal RNA, 1697 nt
Filed under: Drosophila melanogaster (fruit fly)
Lineage: Eukaryota; Metazoa; Arthropoda; Insecta; Diptera; Drosophilidae
Source: RNAcentral
AGAGGGUUCAAAAACUACUAUAGGUAGGCAGUGGUUGCCGACCUCUCAUAUUAUUCAAAACGUAUGUGUUCAUAUGAUUUUGGCAAUUAUAUGAGUAAAUUAAAUCAUAUACAUAUGAAAAUUAAUAUAUAUUAUAUGUAUAAGUGAAAAAUGUUGAAAUAUUCCCAUAUUCUUUAAGUAUUAUAGAGAAAAGCCAUUUUAGUGAAUGGAUAUAGUAGUGUAAGCCAGCUGUUCUACGACAGAGGGUUCAAAAACUACUAUAGUUAGGCAGUGGUUUCCGGCCUCUCAUAUUGUUCAAAACGUAUGUGUUCAUAUGAUUUUGGCAAUUAUAUGAGUAAAUUAUAUCAUAUACAUAUGAAAAUUAAUAUUUAUUAUAUGUAUAAGUGAAAAAUGUUGAAAUAUUCCCAUAUUAUCUAAGCAUUAUAGAGAAAAGCCAUUUUAGUGAAUGGAUAUAGUAGUGUAAGCUUGCUGUUUUACGACAGAGGGUUCAAAAACUACUAUAGGUAGGCAGUGGUUGCCGACCUCUCAUAUUGUUCAAAACGUAUGUGUUCAUAUGAUUUUGGCAAUUAUAUGAGUAAAUUAAAUCAUAUACAUAUGAAAAUUAAUAUUUAUUAUAUGUAUAAGUGAAAAAUGUUGAAAUAUUCCCAUAUUAUCUAAGUAUUAUAGAGAAAAGCCAUUUUAGUAAAUGGAUAUAGUAGUGCAAGCUAGCUGUUCUACGACAGAGGGUUCAAAAACUACUAUAGGUAGGCAGUGGUUGCCGACCUCUCAUAUUGUUCAAAACAUAUGUGUUCAUAUGAUUUUGGCAAUUAUAUGAGUAAAUUAAAUCAUAUACAUUUGAAAGUUAAUAUUUAUUAUAUGUAUAAGUGAAAAAUGUUGAAAUAUUCCCAUAUUCUCUAAGCAUUAUAGAGAAAAGCCAUUUUAGUAAAUGGAUAUAGUAGUGUAAGCUAGCUGUUUUACGACAGAGGGUUCAAAAACUACUAUAGGUAGGCAGUGGUUUCCGGCCUCUCAUAUUGUUCAAAACGUAUGUGUUCAUAUGAUUUUGGCAAUUAUAUGAGUAAAUUAAUUCAUAUACAUAUGAAUAUUAAUAUUUAUUAUAUUGUUAAGUGAAAAAUGUUGAAAUAUUCCCAUAUUAUCUAAGUAUUAUAGAGAAAAGACAUUUUAGUAAAUGGAUAUAGUAGUGUAAGCUAGCUGUUCUACGACAGAGGGUUCAAAAACUAAUAUAGGAACGUAUGUGUUCAUAUGAUUUUGGCAAUUAUAUGAGUAAAUUAAAUCAUAUACAUAUGAAAAUGUAUAUUUAUUAUAUGUAUAUAGGGGAAAAAAUAAUCAUAUAAUAUAUAUGAAUAAUGGAAAAUGAGGUGUUCAUAUAUUCUCGUAAUAUAUAAGAGAAUAGCCCGUAUGUUGGGUGGUAAAUGGAAUUGAAAAUACCCGCUUUGAGGACAGUGGGUUCAAAAACUACUAUAGGUAGGCGCAGUGGUUGCCGACCUCGCAUUGUUCGAAAUAUAUAUUUCGUAUUAUGAUUAUAUUGGUUACUUAUAAUAAAGUAUAUUAUUAUCCGUACAAAUUUGUUUCUCAGUUCUUUUUUAACACGGGACUUGGCUCCGCGGAUAAUAGGAAUAUACGCUAUUUUAGAUAAUAUCCUUGAAACAAAAGUCAGGUUUCUAUUAUACAUAGAAUAACAAAUCGUUUUCAUAUAUUAU